UGUGUAUUGAUCCAUCAUCCUCAUGUUCCUGUUCCCCUCUGUGUUUUUACGACUUUAUUCUUCAGGUCAGUUUUCAGUGGUUCCUGCUUUAGUUGUUGUUCUCUCUCCUUGUGUGUGGUCUAACUUUCUGUGUUCUCCCUCUCUUGUGUGUAUUAAGUCUGUUGCCUACCCUCUGUGUCAGACUCAGACUGGAUAAACUAUGGACAACUUGGUUUCACCUUCUGCCAGUAUAUGAAUUUGAAGUCAAAAAGCUCUCAGUAUUUCUCCUUUUUCUUUUUCUCCAUUUCCUGAAACCAACAUUGCGCAGUAGCGUUGUACGCUUUCGGCAGGACAGUCGCCGAGAGUCGCUGUGAUGACGCUCUGCUCAAACAACGUGCCCACCGGGUGAGCAAUGUAAUUUCCGUAUGCCCAUAGGCUGUAUCAAGUGUCAAUCAUAGAAAACAUGAACCCGCUAAUAACUUUUAAAAAAUGGGAUGGCUCCACCUAGUUAGGAGGCAGACGGCGUUCAUUCUAUAUACAGUCUAUGGUCAGACCAUUGUCAAACAUGUGUCCUUGUGUUUUUAUGUUGCCUUUUGUUUUGUUGCCUUUUCUGCUGAGUCCUUCCAUUUUUGUUUGUGUUUCACAAGCAGGAGGAUCUGACUAAGGAUGGAUCUUUCUGACCAUUCACGAGGAUUGGACAUUUUUUUAGUUUACAGGGACUGGAGCUAGUUUGUAUGACUUUGAAACGGGGCUGAGAUUAG
Molecule: non-coding RNA, 740 nt
Organism: Xyrichtys novacula (pearly razorfish)
Lineage: Eukaryota; Metazoa; Chordata; Actinopteri; Labriformes; Labridae
Source: the annotation of a GenBank genome assembly